RNAcentral lists this ribozyme (71 nucleotides) under Crocodylus porosus (Australian saltwater crocodile). RNAcentral describes it as "Mammalian CPEB3 ribozyme (ENSCPRG00005011111.1)". It matches the Rfam family "Mammalian CPEB3 ribozyme". From Rfam's summary of the family: The mammalian CPEB3 ribozyme is a self cleaving RNA located in the second intron of the CPEB3 gene which belongs to a family of genes regulating messenger RNA polyadenylation. This ribozyme is highly conserved and found only in mammals. The record is from Rfam by way of RNAcentral. Lineage: Eukaryota; Metazoa; Chordata; Crocodylia; Crocodylidae.
AUCAGAUAAGCUAUGCCAGAAGCACUCAUGAUGCAAACCUGUCAGAUUCUAACAAAUCUGCAAAUUCUGCU